UACGUAGGUGGCAAGCGUUGUCCGGAUUUGCUGGGUGUAAAGGGCGUGCAGCCGGGCUGACAAGUCAGAUGUGAAAUCCCGCGGCUCAACCGCGGAACUGCAUUUGAAACUGUCAGUCUUGAGUACCGGAGAGGUCAUCGGAAUUCCUUGUGUAGCGGUGAAAUGCGUAGAUAUAAGGAAGAACACCAGUGGCGAAGGCGGAUGACUGGACGGCAACUGACGGUGAGGCGCGAAAGCGUGGGGAGCAAACAGG
This 253-nucleotide ribosomal RNA is filed under the name uncultured bacterium. Its description in RNAcentral is "partial 16S ribosomal RNA". It matches the Rfam family "Bacterial small subunit ribosomal RNA", at positions 524 to 776 of the family's 1533-position model. The record is from RNAcentral.